RNAcentral lists this long non-coding RNA (827 nucleotides) under Penaeus japonicus. RNAcentral's name for it is "uncharacterized LOC122264986, transcript variant X1". The record is from RNAcentral. Lineage: Eukaryota; Metazoa; Arthropoda; Malacostraca; Decapoda; Penaeidae.
GACGAACCUCAGAGCGCGCUUUUCAUAAUGGUUGGGAAGUCACAUCCAUGUGUUGUAUGCAAAGGGCGAAAAAAAUAUACAUACUUCACAUCAUUUUCAUAGAUUUCCAAAAGAUAAAGAAAGGAAUUGGUUCAUUGGGAGAGGCUGGCCAGUCUGCAAUUUCUAAGGAGGACAAAUUAGAUGGAAGUUGCAGUAUUGACUGUGAAAAUGUAGGAGUGCAAGCAAAUCUUGAGGACGUAGACUUUGACUUUGGUUUGUGAAUUGUAUGUAAAAAUACUUGGGUAUGUUUAUAUUGCUAUAAUAUUUAUGUCAUUUUAUUUAUUGCAGUUUUAUUUAUAGGUAAAAUACAAGAGUCAUCCUUCCAUAGAGCUGGUAUCAGAACAAAUAACUAUUCCAUGGACCUUGAUUUAGGCAUUAAUUUUUAUACAUAGAUUUUAUGAAAUAUUUACUGCUCUCAUUAUUGAAUACCUCAUCCCGUCUUGAAUAGUUAAAUAUCUGUUUAUACCAUAUGCUUAUUAAUUUUGUUUAUAUUACACAGAUAAACUUACUCUAAACAAAACCAAUCCUUUGGAAACCUGUUCUGUAAAGUACAUUCUACAGGAUGCGUUGACUGGUAUGUACUGUUUGACUACUUUAUUAAGAUUUUAUUUAUUUUUGCUUUCCUUAACAUAAGUGAUAGCUUUUAUGCUGAAAUAUCUUUGCAGAUGAAAGCAGUCUGCCUCAGUCUGCAAUUGAUGUAUCUCCAGCAAGCAGUCUUUCAAAUGAAAAAACAUCCGGCAUAUUGCUGAAAAAAACAGAUGUCUCAAAUGAAGUUUUACCACAGACUA